This 362-nucleotide ribosomal RNA is filed under the name uncultured soil bacterium. Its description in RNAcentral is "bacterial SSU rRNA". It matches the Rfam family "Bacterial small subunit ribosomal RNA", at positions 26 to 369 of the family's 1533-position model. The record is from RNAcentral.
AGGACGAACGCUGGCGGCGUGCUUAACACAUGCAAGUCGAACGGAAAGGCCCUGCUUUUGUGGGGUGCUCGAGUGGCGAACGGGUGAGUAACACGUGAGUAACCUGCCCUUGACUUUGGGAUAACUUCAGGAAACUGGGGCUAAUACCGGAUAGGAGCUCCUGCUGCAGUGGGUGGGGGUUAGGAAAGGUUUCGGGCGGUUGGGGAUGGGACUCGCGGCUUAGUCAGCGUUGGUUGGGUGGGUAGUGGUCUACCAAGGCUUUGGACGGGUAGCCGGCCUGGAGAGGGUGACCGGCCACAUUGGGACUGAGAUACGGCCCAGACUACCGUACGGGAGGCGAGCGAGGUAGGGGAAUAGUUGAC